CCAUGAAAAAUGAUAAAAUUAAAUUUUGACAAAUGUUGAAAAAAUUACUUCACAAAAUGGACUAUCAAGUAUGAAUGUUUAUGAGUUUCAAGCCAAAUGACCAACUGCACGACCAUUUCUAUAUCAUAGUUUGUGAUAAUGAAUCCAAUUUUUGCAAAGGGGUGUGUCUUUGCAUUACUCACAAUAUUGUCAAAGAGUUUAGGAAUUUUUAUUUUUUUAAAUGUUUUUACAUUUUCUGAACGCAAGAAAUGAGGUGUUUUGUGAAAAAAGUAGUUCAAAUAUGUCUCAAAAUGGCACCUAAUUUUCACACAAAAUGGACCUUGUCUAUAAGCUUAUAAAUCUAUUUAGUUAUAACCCGUAAGACAAAUAUAUUAUACUAAAAAAAUUAAUUACAUGGCAUUUAGCCAUCGAGUGGCUGUUUUGCAUUAAAACCUGCCAUUGGAAGGUCACUAAUUUUUUUGCGGUGAGAAAACACAUGAUCCGACACAUAUGCUGCAGGCGCGCUUGAUUGGCUAAGUAUGUGCAGGCGCGCUUGAUUGGCUAAGGCCGGAGGGCACGGAUCGAUGAGGUGGCCUGCCCCCAACCCUUCCUUGCUUACCCGUGACUCAAUAUCCCCCCUAGCCCGUGACUUUUCUCCUAUCCCGAUCAUUUUUCUCUGCAUCUCCCUCCCUCUCUCGAUCUCUCUCCCUACUGUACUGCUUCUUUUCUUCCUCCCCACAUCUGCCCCCACCGAGCUCAUCUCCCUCAUCC
This 750-nucleotide long non-coding RNA is filed under the name Brachypodium distachyon (stiff brome). RNAcentral's name for it is "long non-coding RNA (BDIS_LNC000101)". Lineage: Eukaryota; Viridiplantae; Streptophyta; Magnoliopsida; Poales; Poaceae. The record is from RNAcentral.